Molecule: ribosomal RNA, 253 nt
Filed under: uncultured bacterium
Lineage: Bacteria
Description: partial 16S ribosomal RNA
Rfam family: Bacterial small subunit ribosomal RNA
Source: RNAcentral
UACGAAGGGGGCUAGCGUUGCUCGGAAUGACUGGGCGUAAAGGGCGCGUAGGCGGCUUGCACAGUCAGGCGUGAAAGCCCCGGGCUCAACCUGGGAAUUGCAUUCGAGACUGCAUGGCUUGGGUGCGGAAGAGGGAAGCGGAAUUUCCGGUGUAGCGGUGAAAUGCGUAGAUAUCGGAAGGAACACCAGUGGCGAAAGCGGCUUCCUGGUCCGACACCGACGUUCAGGCACGAAAGCGUGGGGAGCAAACAGG